Molecule: long non-coding RNA, 217 nt
Filed under: Elaeis guineensis (African oil palm)
Lineage: Eukaryota; Viridiplantae; Streptophyta; Magnoliopsida; Arecales; Arecaceae
Description: long non-coding RNA (EGUI_LNC065515)
Source: RNAcentral
UUGGGUCCUAGCUUAAUUAUUAGGCCCCAAUUGAAUUUGUAAUUAGUUAGAUUAAAAUCUCAUUGAUCCAGGGAUUGAUUCUUAUUGGAUAUCAGGGAAGCUAUUUGAUAAUAGGGCUUGAUUCAAUGAACCCUAUUAUCCAAUAAAAUUUGAUCCAAUCAAAAUCUAUAUAAAAUAAUUGAAUCUUAUUCAACAUAGGUUUUAAUUUGUUUCCCUG